CAGAGAUUUUACCUCGUACCUUUUGCAUCAUGAUUUAGCUAGUACCCCCUAAGCAAAAAGAAAUUUAGUUUAGUUCCCCGAAACUAAGUGAGCUACUCCAAGACAGCCUAUUAAUAGGGCGCACCCAUCUCUGUGGCAAAAGAGUGGGAAGAGCUUCGAGUAGAGGUGACAGACCUACCGAACUUAGUUAUAGCUGGUUGCCUGAGAAUUGGAUAGAAGUUCAGCCCUCUGCCUUCUUUAGUCAAACGAAAUCAUACCCAACCGACCAAAAGAAUGCAAAGGAGUUAGUUAAAGGAGGUACAGCUCCUUUAACACAAGAUACAACUUUACCAGGAGGAUUAAGAUCAUAAUAAAUCAAGGCAUCCGUGUUUUGGUGGGCCUAAAAGCAGCCAUCCUAAUAGAAAGCGUUAAAGCUCAGACACGAAACUUCCCACUAAUCCUGAUAAUACCUCUGAAUCCCCUAAUACUACCAGGCCCUCCUAUGCACCCAUAGGACUGAUUAUGCUAAUAU
Molecule: ribosomal RNA, 511 nt
Filed under: Leiognathus brevirostris (shortnose ponyfish)
Lineage: Eukaryota; Metazoa; Chordata; Actinopteri; Chaetodontiformes; Leiognathidae
Description: partial 16S ribosomal RNA
Rfam family: Bacterial large subunit ribosomal RNA
Source: RNAcentral